GGCUCCUCGUAAUAUAUAUAUAAGGAGUCGGACCUGCCCAGUGAUUAAUUUUUAACGGCCGCGGUACUCUGACCGUGCAAAGGUAGCAUAAUAAUUUGCCUUAUAAUUGAAGGCUUGUAUGAAUGGUUUGACAAGAGUGGAGCUGUCUCUUUAUAAAUAGUUAGAACUUUAUUUUUAGGUGAAGAAACCUAGAUAUAAUUGAAAGACAAGAAGACCCUAUCGAGCUUUAAAUAAAUAAGUGUACUAUAAAAUUUUAUUAGCUUAUAAAAACUAGUCAUUUAAAAUUUUGGUUGGGGCGACUUAGGAACAAAAAAAGCUUCCUGUUUUUAAUAUUAGACGAACAAGUAUUGAGCCAAAAUAUUUGAUUAAAGAAAUUAGUUACCGUAGGGAUAACAGCAUUAUCUUUUUUAAGAGCUCUUAUCGAAAAAAAGGUUUGUGACCUCGAUGUUGGACCAGAAUAUCCUAAAGAUGCAGCCGUCUUUAAGGGUUGGUCUGUUCGACCAUUAAAAUUCUACGUGAUCUGAGUUCAGACCGGCGUGAGCCAGGUCAGUUUCUAUCUUCAAUUUAUAAACAACAAGCUUAGUACGAAAGGACCAGGUUGUUACAAACAAUAUUUGUUAAAAAAUGAAUAAAUAUAAAGAAAUAUUAAAAUAUGGGGAAAUAAUCAAAUUAGCAAAGUUAAUGCAAUUGACUUAGGAUCAAUAGACAUAGGUGAAACUCCUUUAUUUGAUAAUUCCUUAGAUAAUAUAAAGGUGGCAGAAUGAA
This 765-nucleotide ribosomal RNA is filed under the name Favartia mactanensis. RNAcentral describes it as "partial 16S ribosomal RNA". The stretch from base 1 to 587 matches the Rfam family "Bacterial large subunit ribosomal RNA", at positions 1817 to 2925 of the family's 2925-position model. The record is from RNAcentral. Lineage: Eukaryota; Metazoa; Mollusca; Gastropoda; Neogastropoda; Muricidae.